RNAcentral lists this transfer RNA (69 nucleotides) under Stenocephus fraxini. Its description in RNAcentral is "tRNA-Ala". Lineage: Eukaryota; Metazoa; Arthropoda; Insecta; Hymenoptera; Cephidae. The record is from RNAcentral.
GGGAUUAUAAUUUAAUAAAAAAUAUUUGAAUUGCAAUCAAACCUUACUUAAAUUAUAAAGUUAAUCUUA